ACGAACGCUGGCGGCGUGCUUAACACAUGCAAGUCGAACGAUGAUCCAGAGCUUGCUUUGGUGAUUAGUGGCGAACGGGUGAGUAACACGUGAGUAACCUGCCCUUGACUCUGGGAUAAGCGUUGGAAACGACGUCUAAUACCGGAUACGACAACCGAUCGCAUGGUCUGGUUGUGGAAAGAUUUUUUGGUUGGGGAUGGACUCGCGGCCUAUCAGGUUGUUGGUGAGGUAAUGGCUCACCAAGCCUACGACGGGUAGCCG
This 261-nucleotide ribosomal RNA is filed under the name Subtercola sp. ISO751_OTU35925. Its description in RNAcentral is "partial 16S ribosomal RNA". It matches the Rfam family "Bacterial small subunit ribosomal RNA", at positions 29 to 289 of the family's 1533-position model. Lineage: Bacteria; Bacillati; Actinomycetota; Actinomycetes; Micrococcales; Microbacteriaceae. The record is from RNAcentral.